UUUUUUUUUUUUUUAAGUAGGCUCCACACCCAGCAUAGAGCCUGAUGUAGGGCUUGAACUCAUGAUCCUGAGAUCAUGACCUCAGCUGAAACCAAGAGUCAGACUCUUAACUGACUGAACCAACCAGCUGCCUCUAAACUAUCAAGCUUUCAAAUGCUCAGUAGCCACAUGUGCUUAGUGGCUACUGUAUUGGACAGCAUAGGUAUAGAAAUGUGGUCUGGGAAGGGAGGCCGUGUCAGGAUUUUGCUGGAUUUUGACAAUGGCUUGAUGCUUCUGCUGCUCUGUAGAAGCAGAACAUCUGCAGAAGUAGAGAUCCAUUCUCUCAAAGAGAUAUAUUGUGAGCACUAGCUGGUUCAGUUGGUAGAGCAUGUGACUCUUGAUCUUGGGAUUGUGAGUUCUAGCCCACAUUGGGCAUAGAACCUAUUUUUAAAGAUAAAUAAAUAAAAGAGAUGUACUGGUCACAGGGCAUAAACAUUUUGGGGACUCUCAAUUAUUUUCCUAAUUGAUUGCAUCCUUUUAUGAUACUACUCACCAUGAAUACAAGUACCAAUAUUAUUAGCUCUGGAUUUAGGGAUUCACAUUUUAAUUUUGGGGGGGUUAAUUUAGUAAUGUUAAUUUAGUUAACUUAGAGAAAGAAAUACCAUACUUCUUUUAAUCUGCUUCUAUUUGAUAACUAAUAAAAUUGAAUAUUUUUCACAUAUUUACUAAUAUUUGUUUUUUGUGAGUAUUUUAUUACAAGUCUUUGUUCCAAUAUUAGCUGAGGUCUUUUUUUUUUUUUAAAGAUUUUAUUUAUUCAUGACAGAUACAGAGAGAGAGAGGCAGAGACACAGACAGAGGCAGAAGCUGGCUCCAUGCAGGGAGGCUGAUAUGGGACUCGAUCCCGGGUCUCUAGGAUAUGCCCUGGGCUGAAGGCGGUGCUAAACCGUUGAGCCACCGGGGCUGCCCUAGCUGGGGUCUUAAUAAGAUUUUUAUCAACUUGUGUGAAUUCUUGAGAUAACAAUGUCAUUAAUCUUUUUUGGCAAUUUUUUUUGUAAAUAUAUCUGCUAGUAUGUUAUUUUUCCUGUAUUGUGUUGAUUUUUUUUAACAUACAAAAUUUCUUUUCUGAAAUCUUCAUGUUGUCAAGUACUUCCAUCUUUGCUCUAUAAUAAUACUGUACUCAUGAAGUUUAUUAUCUUGUGGAUGAAAGUUAUGAAGGAAACAUAACACAAAUAAUUUCAGGAAGUUGUACAUGUGAUGAAGAAAAUAAAAUACAUUAAUGUGAUAGAAAGUCAUCAGAAGGACCUUUCCACUAGUGCUGUGAUAAAUAUUUAACCCUAUUUUCUUCUGAAUGUUGUAGUUUUAAGUACACUUAAGUUUUUAAAUUAAAUGGAAUUUAGGGUGCCUGUCUGGCUCAAUUGCCAGAGAAUGUGCUCUUGAUCUCCAGGUUGUAAAUUCGAGUACUACAUUGGGUAUGGAGAUUACUUAAUAAAUAAAUAAAAUAGAAUUCACUUUGAUGUAAAGGGUAGAUCUAAAUUCUUCCCUUCCUCCCAAAUUGCUCAUCAGUUUCCCUUCACUAUUUAUGAAAAAAAAAAAAAAAACUUUGUUUAUCUCAUUGUAUUGUGACAUCUUCUUAAUACACUAAAAUUUCUAUGAAAAUUAGGAUGCAUUGCUGAUAUUUCUAUUAUAUUCCAGGAAUCUGUCUAUUCUUACACCAAGACUUCACUCUCCUAUUUUUGUUGCUUUAUGGGUUUUUAGUUUUGAUAGUAAUUAAUUCUUCCUUCACUUCCUUGCCCCAAUAAAUUUUCUUUCUUGCCUGUUUAGAAUUUUCCUUUCUCUCUUCUUUUUUGCCAUAUGUUUAAAAAACAUCCUUCAAGUUUUUAAAAAUAUAUUUUAUUUAAAUUCAAUUUGCCAACAUAUAGUAUAGCACCCAGUGCUCAUCCCAUUAAGUGCACUUCUUAGUACCCAUCAUCCAAUUACCCCAUCUCUCCACCCACCUCCCCCUCUGCAACUCUUUGUUUGUUUCCCAGAGUUAGGCCUUCUAGUUUUUUUUUAAAAAAAAAAACAAGAUUCUGCUAGAUCUAUAACUGAAGUUGUAGGAAACAGGUAUUUAUGUAAUAUUUUGGCUGCAUAUCCAGGAACAUCUAUUUUUCCAUUCAUUCACAUCUUUUUAGACAACGCAGAAGGUUUUGUAGCUUCCUUUGUAAAGAAAUGUGUGUAUAUAUGUAUGCAUGUUUGCAUACAUAUAUAGUAUCUUAGACUGGGUUUCAUAGAAACAGACUCUGAGAUGGAGAAUUGUCUCAGAAGAUUUCACAGAAAAAAAAAAAAGAAAAAAAGAAAAGAAGAUUUCACAGAAGGCACGCGUAGGUAGCCAGCCUGCAAUGCAGUUGAAACUGGGACCUUAGCUGGUUAGGAGGUAUGAGGGGAGGGGACAAGGGGCCUGAAAGAGACACUUAAACUGGAAUCGGAUAUUGAGGUUUAGCAAGUUACAAAUAAAAUACAAUCUUUGAAUGGAUCAGGAUGCUCAAGUCAGCCUGACCAUCAUAUUGUCUCUCCUUAGAUUGGCCUCGGGGUGGUCAGAUCAUCAGGCAAGGGUUAGUAUUGCCUAAUUGCCUUCAGUAGAUUUAUACCAUCCAUAAUCCUCUCAUAACAAAUAAUGAACUUGUUUCCCCUUGACAAUAUUGGAUAUUAUCAAGUUUUGGGAUCUUUGUCAAUAUGGAAAUGAAAAAUGGCAUUUAAUUUUAGUUUUGAAGUACAUUUCUCUUUAAGAAUGAGGUUGAGUUUUCCAGAUAUUUAAUAGUCAUUUGUGUCUCAUUUUGAAGCUGAAGCUUGUAGCAGAGUAUGAUCUGAACUUUGUAUACAAUUGUUGCCUUGCGGAACCCAGAACAUGCCUUUCAUAUCUUCAUAGCUUUUGUAUCAGUUUAGGUUUAUUUUGACUGCGAGUAAUGAGUAACACGUAACUUAAACCCCUGACUCAACUGACUUUAGCAAUAAGGAAAAUUCUUUUAUCUUACAUGACAUCUUGUCCAGGGAUAAAGUAGUUCUAGAGUCUAGCUAAUUCAGCUACUCACCAAGGCCAUUGAGGUCCCUGGUCUUUCUAACUUUUUGGUUGCUCUGUUCCAACUAGAUUGCUUCCUGCUCACAAGAUGGCUGCAUCACAGACAUCUCAUUGAGACAAUGUAGGAUCCAAUAGACGAAUGGCUGUUUCUUACUGUGAACCUCUUUUUUGAGAACAAGGAAACUUGUCUUGAAAUCCCCUGCUAGAAGGUAUGCUCUGGAAUCUCAUUAGUCAGACUUGGGUGUUAUGCCCAUUCCUAAACUAAUAACUGGUGAGGAGCCUGGGACCAUCAUAUUUGGCUCUUGUUAAUCAGGAUUUUCCCUUGAAUGAUAAUUGAGUAGGAAUGAACACUCCCUUGCCCCCCACCCCCACCGCCCCUUCCCGAAUAAUUAGGACACUGCUGACAGGAAAUGUGGAUUGGUUGUAGGGGGACAAUCAACAAAUUGCCACUACUUUUUUUUUUUUUUAAAGAUUUAAUUUAUUUAUUUGAGAGAGAAAGCCCGCAAGAGCAUGAGCACAAGUACAGGGGAGGGGCAGAGAGAGAGGGAGAAGUAGAGUCCCUGCUGAUCAGAGUGCCUGAUGCAGGGCUCAAUCCCAGGACCCUGGGAUUAUGACCUGAGCUGAAGGCAGAAGCUUAAAUGCCUAGCCACCCAGCCACCCCUGCCACAACUUUCCAUAUAAUAUUCUCUUUGCCUGAUAUAGCCCUCCUCUACUUAUCCUCCCAUCCAGCUAUCAUUCAUCUUUAAAGUAUAGGCUGGGAUGACCCUGAGGAAAUGUGUUUUGUCUCAUCUAGAAAGG
Molecule: long non-coding RNA, 3832 nt
Filed under: Canis lupus familiaris (dog)
Lineage: Eukaryota; Metazoa; Chordata; Mammalia; Carnivora; Canidae
Description: lncRNA (ENSCAFG00000050384.1)
Source: RNAcentral